Molecule: non-coding RNA, 117 nt
Organism: Danio rerio (zebrafish)
Lineage: Eukaryota; Metazoa; Chordata; Actinopteri; Cypriniformes; Danionidae
Source: Rfam
GAUUAAAGCCAUAUCACACUGCAGCCCAGGACUGGUCGCUCACUGAAUCUAAACAGGGCUGAGCCUGGUUGGUACCUAGAUGGGAGCCCACUAGGGACAACUAGGUUGCUGUUGGAG